GUCCUGGCCCUAACGAUGGGUACCAGAUUGUAGACUAGACAUGGGUUUACAGUCGAGGCAAAGUGUUAAGUACCCCGCCUGGGGAGUAUGGUCGCAAGGCUGAAACUCAAAGGAAUUGACGGGGCUCACACAAGCGGUGGAGCAUGUGGCUUAAUUCGAGGCUACGCGAAGAACCUUAUCCUGGACUUGACAUGUGCGAAAGCGCUGGGAAGUAGAAAGCGGAAACGCCGACGAACGGUAUCCAGUCCGGAACCCAGUACAGGUGCUGCAUGGCUGUCGU
This 280-nucleotide ribosomal RNA is filed under the name uncultured bacterium. RNAcentral describes it as "partial 16S ribosomal RNA". It matches the Rfam family "Bacterial small subunit ribosomal RNA", at positions 793 to 1055 of the family's 1533-position model. The record is from RNAcentral.